AGAGAAGGCAGCACUACCAGCUAGGACAUCCACGUCAAAAGUCAGGUGGAGAAAGAGAGACAGUGAUGGGAAUGUACUCUAUGCAAGGCCAAGGUCACGCAGGAAUCAGUCAGAAAAAGCUGGUGAUCACACGCCUAAUCCUCCCUGCAACACUGCUGAUCAUGGCCCUAACUCUGCUUCAGAGACUGCUUCAAAGACCAUCUCUGCUGAAUGUCUUGUGCAAGAUCUACAGUACUCCUUGAGUGUCUCUGAUGAUGAGAUACAAGAAGCUGCAGUUGACCAGGGAGCUCCUCUGGCUUCUGUGGAUUGGAGCACUCGUAACGCUCUCUUUUUUGAGAGAUGGAGGGCAAAGAGACCUUACCUUGUAAAUAGCAUGCUGGCACAGGGGAACGUGGAAACAAAAAUCUGCAGUCAAUGUGGGAUCAACUGUGCAGCUGUCAGAUGCAGAGACUGCUUACCAUGUCCAUUCCUC
Etheostoma spectabile (orangethroat darter) is the source of this 472-nucleotide long non-coding RNA. RefSeq lists it as uncharacterized. The transcript is spliced from 3 exons. Lineage: Eukaryota; Metazoa; Chordata; Actinopteri; Perciformes; Percidae. The record is from RefSeq and is a predicted model, not a curated record.